RNAcentral lists this ribosomal RNA (253 nucleotides) under uncultured bacterium. RNAcentral describes it as "partial 16S ribosomal RNA". It matches the Rfam family "Bacterial small subunit ribosomal RNA", at positions 524 to 776 of the family's 1533-position model. The record is from RNAcentral.
AACGUAGGACACAAGCGUUAUCCGGAGUUACUGGGCGUAAAGGGCGUUUAGGCGGGUGAUUAAGUUCACUAUGAAAGCGCCAGGCUAAACCUAGCGAGGCUGGCGGAUACUGGUCAUCUGGAGUAAGGAAGAGGGAGGUAGAAUUCCGCGUGUAGUGGUGAAAUGCGCAGAUAUCAGGAGGAACACCGGUGGCGAAGGCGGGUCUCUGGGCCGAUACUGACGCUGAGGCGCGAAAGCUAGGGGAGCGAACAGG